Long non-coding RNA from Salvia miltiorrhiza (redroot sage), 1322 nucleotides. RefSeq lists it as uncharacterized. The transcript has 3 exons. NCBI's taxonomy places the organism in Eukaryota, Viridiplantae, Streptophyta, Magnoliopsida, Lamiales, Lamiaceae. The record is from RefSeq and is a predicted model, not a curated record.
CUAAUCAGCCAAAAACUCCACCCUUUAAAUCACCAGCUACGAUUCUCCCUUCUUCCUUUAUGCACCAAAAAUCAUAGAGAGUUUAUUUCAGCUGCAAUCUGGACCCCAAGAGUUUAUUCACUCCUGAAUUCAUUAGCACAGCAGCCAACCAAGCACAAAACACACAAGGUCAAGCGCGAGAGUGAGAGCUACUCAAGGAAUCACAGCGCCUUAGAAAAUCUUUGCUAUCAGGUGGGCAUUUCUUACGCGUAAAAUGAAAAUGCUAUUGAAGAACUAUGCAACUUUCAUGCUCUAAAAUGCAAAAUUAGAUUUUCAAAUGAGUUAUGCUUUAUUAUGCUUAAAUGAGUUAAACUUUAUUUCUCUUUAUUAUCUACACUUGUCGCGCUUUAAUAAUUUACGCUAUGCUAUUUACGCUUAAUUACGACUUAAAUUUUUAUAAUUUAUUAUUUAUGCUUUGUUAUGCUUUUAAGUGAUUUACGCUUAAGUGACUUACGCUUUGUUACGCGCCUACGUGGUUCACGCUUUGUUACGCUUUAAUGCUUUACGCUUAUUAUUUAACGCCUAUGUAAGUUAUGCUUUAAUGCUUUAUGCUUAUUAUCUAAUGCUUAUUUGAUGCUAACAAAAUCGAUUCCUGAGCGGAUAGCUAUCCUGCCAGGACUUAUAUACACAAUGCGACCGUGAGUCAAUGAGAGGGUUGGCCGGUCAAACGUCCGUUGAGGGAGGCCUCCCUCAACGGUACGAUGCUAGCGUCUGUUGGGGGAGGCCUCCCUCAACAGUACGAUGCCGUGUCCGCUGAGGGAGGCCUCCCUCACGGCGCGAUGCCUGUGUUCGUUGAGAAAGGCCUUCCUCACGACACGAUGCUUCUUAAUAGGACUUUCGAUGAUGAAGAAUGCACUCAUGCUAUUUAUGGAUUUGGAAAUGUUUAGUAAGCAAAGGAUUUGAAAGAAGGCUCACGUCUCUUAUAUGAUGUUGUGGUUUGUUAAUAAAAUGUUAAGCUUAUAUUUUAGUUUUGGCAACUGCCCACUAAGUACUAUUGUACUUAGCCCUGCAUAUUUUUAUGAAUGUGCAGGUUGAGCUGUGAUGGAUGAUGAAGUGUUGCUGAGUGGAGCUUUUGUCAAAUUGAAAUUAGGCUCAGAAAGGAUAUAUGUCUGCAUACAUGUAUCUCAGUUAUGUUUUCCGCUGCAAACACUGAUUAUGUUUUAGUCAAGUCUAUAACUAUGCCAAUUACUCUUCAAAGACAUAUCUAAUGCUUACUCGGGUUAAUCGAGUAUCCUUUUUAAUUAUAUGCGUCAAUCCUUCAAAUGUAUUAAAGUUUAUUUCAA